Molecule: transfer RNA, 73 nt
Filed under: Canis lupus familiaris (dog)
Lineage: Eukaryota; Metazoa; Chordata; Mammalia; Carnivora; Canidae
Also listed under: 2 other names
Rfam family: tRNA
About the family: Transfer RNA (tRNA) molecules are approximately 80 nucleotides in length. Their secondary structure includes four short double-helical elements and three loops (D, anti-codon, and T loops).
Source: Rfam by way of RNAcentral
AUCUGGCUGGCUCAGUUGGUAGAGCAAGAGGCUCUUGAUCUCAGGGUUGUGAGUUUGAGCCCCACAUUGGGUA